This 1359-nucleotide long non-coding RNA is filed under the name Monodelphis domestica (gray short-tailed opossum). RNAcentral's name for it is "lncRNA (ENSMODG00000044697.1)". Lineage: Eukaryota; Metazoa; Chordata; Mammalia; Didelphimorphia; Didelphidae. The record is from RNAcentral.
CAAGAACUUUCUUUUCUGGGUCUUUAAUAGAUGUGGCUAGAACACCUGCAGGAUGUCUCUCAUGAUAAAGACUAUGGGCUCUGGAAUGGAAGCUUUCUUAUCCGCAAGGCUCUUGGGUUCAGGGUCCUAGCUUGUCUCUGUUAGAGUCUAAGGGGAAAUUAUGGCCAAGGUGGGGUAUGGGUAAUGAUUUGACUUACCUAGAACAUGCUAUUUUCUAUCUCUCUCUCAGGAUACCUUGCUGCUUUGAUGGAUUUCCUUGCUAUGUGUGUAGCAGCUGGUGGAGUUGUCCGGUGUGUUCUCCACAAGAAUUACUUCCUUGAAUGAUGGUUAGGAUUCAGCAGAAGGCAGGACCAGUGGUCUGGAGGGGAGGAGUUCUACUACUCCCAGGGCUUUUGUGUUCAGCUCUCUGUUUAGUGGCAUUUUGUAAGCAGUUCUCCAAAAUGAUUUCUGUCCUCAUUGAGCCUACAACAGCUAGGCAGGAAGAAGACGAUCGGAACGGCAUGGCCUAUUGAUGUUGUUGAUUGCAGAAAUGGAUCAAGGGCAGCCUGUGGCCUCCAGAAUGGAUCUUUCAUCAAACCUAAAUCUACACUGGUGUCAGGAGACAAUUAUUACAGAAAAAAAGAAUCUCCCCAAAGAAAGCUAUCAAAAGCAUGCAGACUGUAAAAUAUAUAGAAUUAAGAACAAAAUAUAAAUUGGGAGUUUGAAGAGCCAACAUCUUAAGAGCUGCUAAUUUUUAAACACUCUGUUACAUUUUUAGAUUUAUAUAUCUUGAAUUAUAUGCUACUAUAUAUUCUCAUAUAUACAAAUGAUGAGGCUAAAUAUAGGGCAUUAUAGCUGGGAACUAAAAGCUAAUCGUGCAUUAUGGGUUAGUGAAUGGCAGGCUUUGUGUAAGAAUGACAGAAAAUAAUCUGGAGAUCUUUCUGGUUGACAUGUGAAAUAUGAGUCAAUAGUAUAAUGUUAUAGUUAAUUUUUAAGGGGUGAUGCUGAAUGCAAAAAUAGGAUAACAGCAUAUUGGACUCAUGAGAUAAUGCUCUCAUUAUAUCCAGCAUUAGUCAAACCUUAAUGGAGUCCUGUGUCUUGUGAUGAAUGUAGACACAUCCAAAAGGAAGCAUCCAAAGUGAAAGCUCCCCCAGUUCAGUUCUUACUUCCACUUGCCUUGGUUAACUUCCUUGGGCCUUUGCUUGCAAGAGGAAAAGGGGUAGGAAGGGGGGAUAUUUUUCCUUCAAAAACCAUGCCCUCUGUUUUCUGCCUAUUCUCACUCCUUGAUAAUUAUCUCUCACCAUGUCCUCUACAGUAUAUCUAGAUCAGAGUCUAUUCUAAGGAAAAAAACAACAAAUAAAUUUGUUAAUCAAUGAAGCA